RNAcentral lists this ribosomal RNA (500 nucleotides) under uncultured bacterium. RNAcentral's name for it is "partial 16S ribosomal RNA". It matches the Rfam family "Bacterial small subunit ribosomal RNA", at positions 28 to 507 of the family's 1533-position model. The record is from RNAcentral.
GACGAACGCUGGCGGCGUGCCUAAUACAUGCAAGUCGAGCGGACUGAUUAAGAGCUUGCUCUUAUGACGUUAGCGGCGGACGGGUGAGUAACACGUGGGCAACCUGCCCUGUAGAUCGGGAUAACACCGAGAAAUCGGUGCUAAUACCGGGUAAUAUCUGAGAUCACAUGAUCUUAGGUUAAAAGAUGGCUCCGGCUAUCACUACAGGAUGGGCCCGCGGCGCAUUAGCUAGUUGGUAAGGUAAUGGCUUACCAAGGCGACGAUGCGUAGCCGACCUGAGAGGGUGAUCGGCCACACUGGGACUGAGACACGGCCCAGACUCCUACGGGAGGCAGCAGUAGGGAAUCUUCCGCAAUGGACGAAAGUCUGACGGAGCAACGCCGCGUGAGUGAUGAAGGGGUUCGGCCCGUAAAGCGCUGUUGUUAGGGAAGAAACAGUACCGAACGAACUAGGUCGGUACCUUGACGGUACCUAACCAGAAAGCCACGGCUAACUACGUG